RNAcentral lists this ribosomal RNA (796 nucleotides) under uncultured Methanosarcinaceae archaeon. RNAcentral's name for it is "bacterial SSU rRNA". It matches the Rfam family "Archaeal small subunit ribosomal RNA", at positions 85 to 879 of the family's 1478-position model. The record is from RNAcentral. Lineage: Archaea; Methanobacteriati; Methanobacteriota; Methanomicrobia; Methanosarcinales; Methanosarcinaceae.
ACGGCUCAGUAACACGUGGAUAACCUGCCCUUGGGUCCGGCAUAACCCCGGGAAACUGGGGAUAAUUCCGGAUAACGCACAUAUGCUGGAAUGCUUUAUGCGUAAAAUGGAUUCGUCUGCCCAAGGAUGGGUCUGCGGCCUAUCAGGUAGUAGUGGGUGUAAUGUACCUACUAGCCAACAACGGGUACGGGUUGUGAGAGCAAGAGCCCGGAGAUGGAUUCUGAGACAUGAAUCCAGGCCCUACGGGGCGCAGCAGGCGCGAAAACUCUACAAUGCAGGCAACUGCGAUAGGGGGACAUCGAGUGGCAUCCACCUUGGGUGCCUGUCCAACCGUCUAAAAAACGGUUGUUAGCAAGGGCCGGGUAAGACCGGUGCCAGCCGCCGCGGUAAUACCGGCGGCUCGAGUGGUGGCCGAUAUUAUUGAGUCUAAAGGGUCCGUAGCCGGCUUUGCAAGUCCCCUGGGAAAUCCAGCGGCUUAACCGUUGGGCUUUCAUGGGAUACUACAUUGCUUGGGACUGGGAGAGGUAGGAGGUACUCGGGGGGUAGGGGUGAAAUCCUGUAAUCCUCCGGGGACCACCGGUGGCGAAGGCGUCCUACCAGAACAGGUCCGACGGUGAGGGACGAAAGCUAGGGGCACGAACCGGAUUAGAUACCCGGGUAGUCCUAGCCGUAAACGAUGCCCGCUAGGUGUCACGACGGUCGUGAAUCGUCGUGGUGCCGUAGGGAAGCCGCGAAGCGGGCCACUUGGGAAGUACGGCCGCAAGGCUGAAACUUAAAGGAAUUGGCGGGGGAGCAC